This 953-nucleotide ribosomal RNA is filed under the name uncultured bacterium. RNAcentral's name for it is "bacterial SSU rRNA". It matches the Rfam family "Bacterial small subunit ribosomal RNA", at positions 308 to 1253 of the family's 1533-position model. The record is from RNAcentral.
UCACACUGGAACUGAGACACGGUCCAGACUCCUACGGGAGGCAGCAGUGGGGAAUAUUGCACAAUGGGCGCAAGCCUGAUGCAGCAACGCCGCGUGGGUGAAGAAGGCUCUUGGGUCGUAAAGCCCUUUCGACAGGGAAGAAGGGUCUCGUGGUGAACAAUCACGAGAUUUGACGGUACCUGAUGAAGAAGCACCGGCUAACUUCGUGCCAGCAGCCGCGGUAAUACGAAGGGUGCAAGCGUUGUUCGGAAUCACUGGGCGUAAAGCGCACGUAGGCGGGUUCGUGUGUCGAUUGUGAAAGCCCCGGGCUCAACCUGGGAAUUGCAGUCGAAACUGCGGAUCUUGAAUACCUGAGAGGGUGGGGGAAUUGCUGGUGGAGAAGUGAAAUUCGUAGAUAUCAGCAGGAACACCUGAGGCGAAGGCGCCUACCUGGCAGUGUAUUGACGCUGAGGUGCGAAAGCGCGGGGAGCAAACAGGAUUAGAUACCCUGGUAGUCCGCGCCGUAAACGAUGGAUACUAGGCGUUCGGAGAGUUAACCCUCUGAGUGCCAAAGCUCACGCAUUAAGUAUCCCGCCUGGGGAGUACGGUCGCAAGGCUAAAACUCAAAGGAAUUGACGGGGGCCCGCACAAGCGGUGGAGUAUGUGGUUUAAUUCGAAGCAACGCGCAGAACCUUACCUAGCCUUGACAUCCCGUGACAGCUCCAGAGAUGGAGUCUUCCCUCCGGGGACACGGAGACAGGUGCUGCAUGGCUGUCGUCAGUUCGUGUUGUGAAAUGUUCGGUUAAGUCCGGCAACGAGCGCAACCCCUGUCCUUAGUUACCAGCAUUAAGUUGGGGACUCUAGGGAGACUGCCGGUGUCAAACCGGAGGAAGGCGGGGAUGACGUCAAGUCCUCAUGGCCCUUACGGCUAGGGCUACACACGUACUACAAUGGCAGAAACAAACCGUCGCGAA